UUGUGACGCUGUUCGCUGUCAGAUAAUUUACCAUACGCCAGAUGAUCGGACACGGAAUGGAUACAUACCAAAGGUGGAUACAUACAAAAGUUACUCUCUCCUCCGCAGAGGGUUCUGUUGGCUAUGAUUACGAUUACUAUUGAGAUACAUUUCACCACACUUUACUUUGCAGAUCUUGGAACACGAGCGGAGCCGCUGGGCGAAGGAGCGCCUGCUGGGUUUUGCCUAUGAUUUUGGCGUAUCUGUUGCAAUGGUGUUGCCAUCAGUCCUGGCCAGUGUGCUUAUGAGAGACAUUCAUGUCCACGAAAAUAUUUAAAAUGGCAGACAUUCAGUGGGUAAAAAUGGGUAAAUAACUCUUAGUCUCUUAUAACCGUACUGGCUAAGAACAUGGUGACAGCAAUUUGAUGAAUAAUAAAUUAUGGCAUGGUAGCGGUUUAUACCGUAAGCUUUUUUGGCCAAGUCAACCUUCUGUUUCUCUCUAUAUUCUGUGACGCAAUGAUUUGCAAUGGUUUGUCAAAAUAUAAAGGGCUCACACAGGCCCCACAGUAUUAAAUUGGUUUUAAACAUAUCUCAAUGCACUCAUGGUAUUCACCCCCCUGAGCAUCAACCAUUUUGAAUAUUUUCAGGGGGGUGAACAAGAAGUCGAACUACUGUAUGUGUUUCCUUCUUCCUUUGACUUUUGGACGAUGUGAUUUUACAAUGCGAACCCAUGGCAACAUAUAAAUAUGGCGGACGCCGAGCAUGGAUUUCACGUCGAUGAACUGUCAAAAAUUCGCGUCCUUGAACCAGAAGUUUACCAACAAACACAAGAAUUAAAAGAAGAAUGUAAAGACUUCGUUGAUA
Paramuricea clavata is the source of this 843-nucleotide non-coding RNA. The record is from the annotation of a GenBank genome assembly. NCBI's taxonomy places the organism in Eukaryota, Metazoa, Cnidaria, Anthozoa, Malacalcyonacea, Plexauridae.